AAAAUGUAAGGAACUAACUAAGAAAAGACGAGUGAAUUCGAAGUAAAAAUAUAUAUAAAUAUGAUCCGAUCAAUAAGUAGGGAUCGUUUUGGACCAGGGAUUAGGAGGGCAUGCUAAUAACCUCUAAACUGACUCAAAAACAUAAAACUAAACUUAAAAACACUUAACAAGACUCACAAGACUCAAAGUAAACUUAAAAUACUCAAAACAGCUUAAAACAACUAAAUAAACUUAAAAUAGACACUAGGAAUGACUUUGGACGAAAAUUGACUUUUACUUGAAUCAAAACACUUAAAAACACAAACUAAAAUAGAUUUGAAACACUUUGAAACAAGAAACUAAAAGGGGGGGUUUUGAUUUGGAUGAAGUUGAAACAAACAAACAAGUAUGAAAACCUAGACAGAUUGUAAAAUAAAUUUGAGAAAUAAGAUGAUGGAUGGGAUAGCUAGAGGCUUUUUCUCCACACAUGACAUGUAUGCAAACAACUCGAUUUCCAGUUACUACUUCAUUGAAUUAUGAACGACAAUGCCCCGAAUUAACUGUGACAUCACUAGUUAACCCUCAGAUUUUCCUUGUUUUAUUGGAUUGGAUGACAUCAUUCGACAACCCAAAACAUUCUUCAAAAGUUCCUUACAUGACAUCAUAAUAGAGAUACAAUCAAAGAUCAUUACGUUUAAUGAAAAUCACAAACAUUGACAAAGCACUUGCAACUAUGACAUCAUGUCACUCAUACUAGAAUUAAACUUAACGCGAUUGUUUAUAAGCGACCUCCACUACUUAUGAAUAUAAGUUUGUAACGAUUAUGUGAAACUUUCUUAUAUUCUAGCAUCAGAUUUAUGCAUGCCAAUUAAGUGUCGACCCUUAAUCAACAAAUACAAAUAAGUUAUCAAUCAAAUACUUAAGCCAAUUGCAUUCACGAUUCAAGAGUUCAUAACUGGAAUUUAUCAAAUCAUAUUACACACAUAAUCAUGGCUUUGAAAUCACCCCCAGCUAAGAGAGGUUUAGCCACUCACGUUCACAACAAAACGAAAGGAAAUGAAUUUAAACAUUGGAAACAAAAGAAAGAAAACACCUAAACGCUCCAACGAUCCAAGUUGGGCAGCAAGCAUGUCCAAGCACUUUCCUUCCCUUCCUUCGCUACGGCACAAGGUGUUGGUGAGUGUUUGAAGGUUUGUUUGUAUGGAGGAAUGGGUGUGAAGAUGAAUGGAUGUGUUUGGAUGAAGGUUGUAUUGAAAUGGGGAUGAGUGAUCAAGCAAAAACUAACUUUAUGGCUGCCACACACAGUUCCUUUUAUAGAGGAAGUGCACGGCAAUGAGGGGAAAUUGGUGGUGUGUGCAAUGAUUCAAGGGUGAAAAUGAAGUAAUGAUGCAAAACAUGGGGGGUAAAAUGGAGUGGUGUUGCAGCAAUGAGUGCAUGGAGUGGUGUUUGAAAUGAUUCAAAGGUGAAAGUGAAGUGAUGAUGCAAAGCAUAGGGGGUAAAAUGGAGUGGUGUUGCAGCUAUGAAUGCAAGUAGGGAACAUGAAUGAUUGUGCACAUGGUAGACAAAGGAAAGGUGAAAGGUUGCUGCAACAAUGAAUGGAGUGCAAGGCAAAGAAGCUGUCCACGUGCCUCCAAACUUGAUUUUCUGCACUCUUUACCUUGUGUUCCAGCUCACUUCCACAUGUACUAGCUGUUAGACAACUUUCACACACAUGUUUUUCAUAAUUUCAUCUUGCAAACACCAACUUUUGGCUACUUUACACCUCUUUACACAUGCACCUACUGCUAGACACUUUCACACACAUGUUAUGCAUCAUUUUAGCUUGCAAUUAUGUUUGUAGUUGCUACAAAUGUGAAUACAACUUGUAAAACAAUCCAACAAAUGGCAUCUUUCACUUCUUUUCCUUUCAAAUUGUUCCUUAAGUGUAUGUAUCUGCACGCUUCCACACUUCAACUUCAUUAUUCCGAUUUUUGCAUAUGUUGAAACCCUUUUUAAAACACCAAAAACGACCAUCCAACUUGCUCCAUAUGCAUGGAAUCCAUUUCAGCCCAAAAUUGCUCCAAAAUGCACCAAAAUGCACUUUCUUGCCAACUUUGUUAUUAGGACCUACAAACACACGAAAAUAGCUUAAAAUACAUAAUUGACUAUGAAAUAACAACAUAAAUGCACAAGAACAAGCUAACUAAGUCGCAUAAAUAUGCUCCUAUCAAAUUCUCCCACACUUAGCUUUUACUAGUCCUCAAGCAAAACAAAACAAACGAAACAAACAAAACACAACCUAGACCUUCCAACAUUUGCCUCAGGGAUUUUUAAUGAAACAUGACAUGUUAAAAAUCAUCAUUCCCACAUAUUUUGGUCAUCUUCACACUUGAGCACAUACUUAAUCACAUUCACCACUUACUAGUUCACAAUUAACCAAUUAAAAUGAUGUUUUGAAUGUAGUAACAUGCCUUAGAGAAUUUGUUCAAUUCCUUACAAGAUACUCUCUAUUUUCACACACAUUUUCUGACUACACACCCUACACUAGUUAUAUGUGAGAAGAUUGAUGUAAACACGAAAGACUAGGACUCACAUAUGUUAUAACAAAGAAAGCAAUUUUCUGGAGUUAUUAAGCAUGUUUAGAUAUGAUCACAUGAAUGGAAUGCUACUACUUAGAUGCGAGAACCAGUGACACCAUAUGCUCAUACCAAUUUCGAACUCCACAAAUUGAAACACACAACACUCAAGAUUGAAGUCAAGGGUUGUAACAGGGCUUGGGGGUACUGGCUAACAAAGAAAGGAUAGUGAUAACAAACGUUCUUAAAGCGAUAGCAAGCAAAGCAAUGAAAUAGACACUUGGAAUUCACUUUAGAAUGCAGAAUCAACUUUUAAAUACAAAGGGAAGAUUCAUGCAACACUUAGGGCCGAAUUCAAUGUUUUGGACCCUUUCUUUAACAAACAACACUUUAGAGCUCUUUUUCAUACUCUUUUCAAUUCUUUUUUUCUUUUCUCUCUUUUUUUUUCUUUUCUACCUGAUAGGAGCAUUUUUAUGCGACUUAAUUGGCUUGUUCUCAUGCAUUUAUGUUAUUUUUCCUUAGUUA
RNAcentral lists this long non-coding RNA (3059 nucleotides) under Malus domestica (apple). Its description in RNAcentral is "long non-coding RNA (MDOM_LNC019264)". Lineage: Eukaryota; Viridiplantae; Streptophyta; Magnoliopsida; Rosales; Rosaceae. The record is from RNAcentral.